GACGUACGCUGGCGGCGUGCUUAACACAUGCAAGUCGAACGGAAAGGCCCUGCUUUUGUGGGGUGCUCGAGUGGCGAACGGGUGAGUAACACGUGAGUAACCUGCCCUUGACUUUGGGAUAACUUCAGGAAACUGGGGCUAAUACCGGAUAGGAGCUCCUGCUGCAUGGUGGGGGUUGGAAAGUUUCGGCGGUUGGGGAUGGACUCGCGGCUUAUCAGCUUGUUGGUGGGGUAGUGGCUUACCAAGGCUUUGACGGGUAGCCGGCCUGAGAGGGGGACCGGCCACAUUGGGACUGAGAUACGGCCCAGACUCCUACGGGAGGCAGCAGUGGGGAAUAUUGCACAAUGGGCGGAAGCCUGAUGCAGCAACGCCGCGUGCGGGAUGACGGCCUUCGGGUUGUAAACCGCUUUCGCCUGUGACGAAGCGUGAGUGACGGUAAUGGGUAAAGAAGCACCGGCUAACUACGUG
RNAcentral lists this ribosomal RNA (468 nucleotides) under uncultured bacterium. RNAcentral's name for it is "partial 16S ribosomal RNA". It matches the Rfam family "Bacterial small subunit ribosomal RNA", at positions 28 to 507 of the family's 1533-position model. The record is from RNAcentral.